Long non-coding RNA from Anguilla rostrata (American eel), 660 nucleotides. RefSeq lists it as uncharacterized. The transcript has 2 exons. The record is from RefSeq and is a predicted model, not a curated record. Lineage: Eukaryota; Metazoa; Chordata; Actinopteri; Anguilliformes; Anguillidae.
AGACACAACAGCAGCAAGCUCUUCAGAAAGUUUAGACUUUAUUGCACAGUUGCACAAAGCCGGAUCAAUUCAGCCGAAUUGAACCUCGAUUGUCAGUUUUGCAUACAUUUUAUAAACAAAUUGUACCCCACAACUCCCCUUAACACAUUUCUAAAAAAUACCAGCCAUCUGGUCUUCUUGGCACCAUAAUGAUUUUAAUUUCCUGCUCUUGGGUCAACCUGACCUUCUUGGCACCACAAUGAUUUUCUGUUCUUAGGUGAUAUCAUCAUUGUGGAAAGUUACCCCAACUUUCCCUUAGAAAAAUAUCAGUCUUUACUCUGUAAUUUUCCAUUAUGCAUACAAGUCACAGUCUUCUGUAAUUUUCCAUUAAGCAUACAAGUUACAUAGGGGUCACUGUAAAAUAUUAGUCUUCUAGUACUUCUAUUUGGCAAUAAUUUUCUGCUGAGUAAGUAUGGUUUUUUUAAGCCUUCUGCAUUUGCUUUUUUUUCUACAGUGGAUACUGUGGUUUCUUGCGUUUCCAUAAGCUUAGCUGCAACUACUGAUAUAGGUUUAUUGGAUUACAUAUGGAUUAUAUUAGUAUAUAGUUAUACAUGUGAUAUAUUUUUAUCAUGCAGCAUCGAGAGUUUGGAGGAAACAGUCUGAUCAACAUUGAUGGGAAUA